ACGGGGGGAGCGAACGUUGUUCGGAAUCACUGGGCGUAAAGGGCGUGUAGGCGGCUGAAUAAGUGGGAUGUUAAAUCCCCCGGCUCAACCGGGGACCUGCAUCUCAUACUGUUCAGCUCGAGCACAUCAGAGGAGACUGGAAUUCCCGGUGUAGCGGUGAAAUGCGUAGAUAUCGAGAGGAACACCUGCGGCGAAGGCGGGUUGCUGGGCUGACACUGACGCUGAGGCGCGAAAGCCAGGGGAGCGAACGGGA
This 253-nucleotide ribosomal RNA is filed under the name uncultured prokaryote. RNAcentral's name for it is "partial 16S ribosomal RNA". It matches the Rfam family "Bacterial small subunit ribosomal RNA", at positions 525 to 777 of the family's 1533-position model. The record is from RNAcentral.